Molecule: ribosomal RNA, 472 nt
Filed under: uncultured bacterium
Lineage: Bacteria
Description: bacterial SSU rRNA
Rfam family: Bacterial small subunit ribosomal RNA
Source: RNAcentral
UGGGGAAUAUUGGACAAUGGGCGAAAGCCUGAUCCAGCCAUGCCGCGUGUGUGAAGAAGGUCUUCGGAUUGUAAAGCACUUUAAGUUGGGAGGAAGGGCAUUUACCUAAUACGUAAGUGUUUUGACGUUACCGACAGAAUAAGCACCGGCUAACUCUGUGCCAGCAGCCGCGGUAAUACAGAGGGUGCGAGCGUUAAUCGGAAUUACUGGGCGUAAAGCGCGCGUAGGCGGUUUGUUAAGUCGGAUGUGAAAUCCCCGGGCUCAACCUGGGAAUUGCAUUCGAUACUGGCAAGCUAGAGUAUGGGAGAGGAAGGUAGAAUUCCAGGUGUAGCGGUGAAAUGCGUAGAUAUAGGAAGGAACACCAGUGGCGAAGGCGACCACCUGGACUGAUACUGACACUGAGGUGCGAAAGCGUGGGGAGCAAACAGGAUUAGAUACCCCCGUAGUCCCUGAGCGGGCUGGCAAGGCGCAU